RNAcentral lists this unclassified non-coding RNA (593 nucleotides) under Hevea brasiliensis (rubber tree). The record is from RNAcentral. Lineage: Eukaryota; Viridiplantae; Streptophyta; Magnoliopsida; Malpighiales; Euphorbiaceae.
GGAAAAGAAAAUUUGGCUUCUGUGCUUAACCGCUACAAGAGGCGAUUAUCCAACAAGCUGAGCGGGAGUAAAUGAGGGGUCUAGGUCAAGCAAGGUUGUGACAUAAGGUUCUCAAUCUGCCUCAACCUCAAGUGGGUAAAUAUAGGGCUGCUUGAUUUUGAAAAGCAGCGUAUAUACUCUGAUCAGAAGUACAGUUAUGGGGCUCUCUCUCUUGUGUAUUUAAAAGUUAAUGUGCUGCAAAAUUUACUUGGUUGUGUGUUAUAUAUACAUAGGAUAAAGAUUAAGGGAUACGUAAUUGCAGCAUGAUUAAAGAAAAUGGGUAGAAAGGUGGAAAGUUGCUUGAAACGCAUUUUCUGGUUUCAGUAACUUGUCACCUUCAAGGCAAUGUAGAUUAUUGCAUUGGGUGGGGGGAAAGUUUCUAUACCUAAUCUCUAUCCUACUAAAAAUGGUGUAUAUCUUUAGUUUCUCUACUGAAAAACAGACAAUGUUACUGCCUUUUUGAGUUUACAACAGCUCAUGUAAAACAGGAGCUUGAUUGUGUCAUUGUUCAGUUGCUCUAGCACAUCUCAGGAAUUGACUAUGUAUCACUUCAG